This is a long non-coding RNA of Aphidius gifuensis, 304 nucleotides long. RefSeq lists it as uncharacterized. Lineage: Eukaryota; Metazoa; Arthropoda; Insecta; Hymenoptera; Braconidae. The record is from RefSeq and is a predicted model, not a curated record. The transcript is spliced from 2 exons.
CUAUUUUAACAUCUGUUAUAUAUCCGCACUCGAUUUUUAUUGCAGUAUAAUUGUUCUGGUUGAAUAAGCUUGAUCAUUUUCUUGAUUGUCCAAAGAAAAAUAAAAUAAUCAUGCAGAUUAUACAAGGUUCAGUAAAAUGUGGAUCAAUGAUUUGUCGGCUUGGAGGACAAUUUAGAACUAAUAAAAUGGCAACAAUUCCACAAAAUAGAAUUCCUUUUGCAGAAAAAGCAUGUCAUGGAGUUGUUAUGUUCGUAUGUCUUUUAGCUGUUCCAGGAUAUAUUGUAUCAAAUCUUAAAAACUAUAA